UACGUAGGGUGCAAGCGUUGUCCGGAAUUAUUGGGCGUAAAGAGCGUGUAGGCGGCCUGAAAGGUCAGCUGUGAAAACUCGAGGCUCAACCUCGAGACGUCGGUGGAAACCGUUUGGCUAGAGUCCGGAAGAGGAGAGUGGAAUUCCCGGUGUAGCGGUGAAAUGCGCAGAUAUCGGGAAGAACACCCGUGGCGAAGGCGGCUCUCUGGGACGGUACUGACGCUGAGACGCGAAAGCGUGGGGAGCGAACAGG
RNAcentral lists this ribosomal RNA (253 nucleotides) under uncultured bacterium. Its description in RNAcentral is "partial 16S ribosomal RNA". It matches the Rfam family "Bacterial small subunit ribosomal RNA", at positions 524 to 776 of the family's 1533-position model. The record is from RNAcentral.